CUACGGGGUGCAGCAGUGAGGAAUAUUGCACAAUGGGGGGAACCCUGAUGCAGCAACGCCGCGUGGAGGAUGACGCAUUUCGGUGUGUAAACUCCUUUUAUAUGUCAAGAAAAUGACGGUAGCAUAUGAAUAAGCACCGGCUAACUCCGUGCCAGCGAGCCGCGGUAAUACGGAGGGUGCAAGCGUUACUCGGAAUCACUGGGCGUAAAGGACGCGUAGGCGGGUUGGAAAGUCAGGUGUGAAAUCCUACAGCUUAACUGUAGAACUGCACUUGAAACUUCUAAUCUAGAGUAUGGGAGGGGGAGAUGGAAUUAGUGGUGUAGGGGUAAAAUCCGUAGAUAUCACUAGGAAUACCUAAAGCGAAGGCGAUCUCCUGGAACAUUACUGACGCUAACGCGUGAAAGCGUGGGGAUCAAACAGGAUUAGAUACCCGAGUAGUC
Molecule: ribosomal RNA, 440 nt
Filed under: uncultured bacterium
Lineage: Bacteria
Description: partial 16S ribosomal RNA
Rfam family: Bacterial small subunit ribosomal RNA
Source: RNAcentral